Molecule: ribosomal RNA, 492 nt
Filed under: uncultured bacterium
Lineage: Bacteria
Description: partial 16S ribosomal RNA
Rfam family: Bacterial small subunit ribosomal RNA
Source: RNAcentral
GACGAACGCUGGCUGCGUGCUUAACACAUGCAAGUCGAACGCGGAAACCCUGGUGCUUGCACCGGGGUGGAUGAGUGGCGAACGGGUGAGUAACACGUGAGUAACCUGCCCCCGACUUCGGGAUAAGCCCGGGAAACUGGGUCUAAUACCGGAUAUGAGCGCCCCUCGCAUGAGGGAUGCUGGAAAGUCUUUUCGGUUGGGGAUGGGCUCGCGGCCUAUCAGUUUGUUGGUGAGGUAAUGGCUCACCAAGACGACGACGGGUAGCCGGCCUGAGAGGGCGAACGGCCACACUGGGACUGAGACACGGCCCAGGCUCCUACGGGAGGCAGCAGUGGGGAAUAUUGCACAAUGGGGGAAACCCUGAUGCAGCGACGCAGCGUGCGGGAUGACGGCCUUCGGGUUGUAAACCGCUUUCAGCAGGGAAGAAGCCCCUUGGGGUGUCGGUACCUGCAGAAGAAGUACCGGCUAACUACGUGCCAGCCGCCGCCGUAA